RNAcentral lists this ribosomal RNA (699 nucleotides) under uncultured bacterium. RNAcentral's name for it is "bacterial SSU rRNA". It matches the Rfam family "Bacterial small subunit ribosomal RNA", at positions 8 to 747 of the family's 1533-position model. The record is from RNAcentral.
AGAGUUUGAUCAUGGCUCAGGAUGAACGCUGGCGGCGUGCUUAACACAUGCAAGUCGAACGGGACUCUUCGGAGUCCAGUGGCGGACGGGUGAGUAACGCGUGAGAAUCUGCCUUCCGGAUGGGGACAACCGCUGGAAACGGCGGCUAAUCCCCAAUGUGCCGAGAGGUAAAACGGGUAAAACCGCCGGAAGAGGAGCUCGCGCCCGAUUAGCUAGUUGGUGGGGUAACAGCUCACCAAGGCCACGAUCGGUAGCCGGUCUGAGAGGACGAUCGGCCACACUGGGACUGAGACACGGCCCAGACUCCUACGGGAGGCAGCAGUGGGGAAUUUUCCGCAAUGGGCGAAAGCCUGACGGAGCAACGCCGCGUGGGGGAGGAAGGCUCUUGGGUUGUAAACCCCUUUUCUCAGGGAAGAAGCUCUGACGGUACCUGAGGAAUCAGCCUCGGCUAACUCCGUGCCAGCAGCCGCGGUAAUACGGAGGAGGCAAGCGUUAUCCGGAAUUAUUGGGCGUAAAGCGUCCGCAGGUGGCUAUUUAAGUCUGCUGUCAAAGACCGGGGCUCAACUCCGGGUCGGCAGUGGAAACUGGAUAGCUAGAGUACGGUAGGGGUAGAGGGAAUUCCCGGUUGUACGGUGAAAUGCGUAAAGAUCGGGAAGAACACCGGUGGCGAAGGCGCUCUACUGGACCGGCACUGACACU